RNAcentral lists this long non-coding RNA (290 nucleotides) under Prunus persica (peach). RNAcentral describes it as "long non-coding RNA (PPER_LNC006313)". The record is from RNAcentral. Lineage: Eukaryota; Viridiplantae; Streptophyta; Magnoliopsida; Rosales; Rosaceae.
CAUUACUGACAACAACUGAGCUCGUGAUUUUAUGAGUUUUAAUUUCACCCCUCUUGACAGGGACGGAUUCAGGAUUUUAAAAUUGGGUGGACUAGAUUUAUUUUAUUGAACUGUUAAAUUUUAGGCUUAUGGAAUUGAUCAUAUGUGUAUAUAUAUAUAUAUAUAUAUACAGAGAGCUUCCAUUGAGGGAUCCCUCAAAUAAGCUUAUUUGAGGGACACCCCUUGUAGGCCCCACUCCGGAUUGUAUUUCACUAAUCCAAACCGUCUAUUUUGUAGAUACUCAUUCAAAG